This 2433-nucleotide long non-coding RNA is filed under the name Lonchura striata (white-rumped munia). Its description in RNAcentral is "domestica (Bengalese finch) lncRNA (ENSLSDG00000003465.1)". The record is from RNAcentral. Lineage: Eukaryota; Metazoa; Chordata; Aves; Passeriformes; Estrildidae.
UCCCAGCUGGGGGGAGGCCCACGAAGGCCCAGGGGCUUAAAACCAAGGAGCACAAGGUCAUCUCCUGGUAUGGACUCUGCCUUCUCCUGGGGUUUGUGUCUCACCUACACUGGAGCCCCAGGAGCUGGGAGCCACAUGUGUGUCUUUCUGUGGAGCUUCUGUCUUCUGUCUCUCUCUCUCUUUCCUCUCCUUCUAAUGCUCUUUAUAUGGAACAUUUGUGGGUACAUGAACAACUUCAGUGUUUAGGGGUUUCCAGGCUAAAUGGGCUGAGGGAAUGAAGUUACAGCUGUGACAAAUGAUGUAAGUUGGAUUUGUAUUAAAUGUUUUUCCAAAGUUUCUUGUUCUUUUGUACUUUGCCAGUAAAAUUUUGGGGGUCCGAAAUGGGCGCUGAGGGGCACUUGGGGGUCCCGGAGGGUCUGGGGGACACUGAUGAGACAGAUGGGGGCGGUACCGGGGUUCUGUGGAGCGCGGGGCAUGACGGGCAUUGUAGUCCCGGCUUUAAUGGGGCUCUAUGGGGCCGCAGAGCAUGACGGGAGUUGUAGGCAAAAGAAAAGAUGGCGCAGACCCCAGGCCCCGCCCCCAAAGCCAUGAUCCCGGCGCUGAUUGGUUGGGGCUGUGAUGGGCGGACCCUCUGCAAAUGGGAGGCAGUGGGGGCGGGAAGAGCCCAUUCAACCCCUCCAGUCCCUCCCAGUACAGCCCAGUUCAUCCCCGGUACAGCCCAGUACAGCCCCAGUGCCCCUCCAGUCCCUCCCAAUACACCUGAGUUCAUUCCCAGGCCCUUCCAGUUCCCCCCAGUUCCAUCCAUAUCCCGCUCCAGUGUCCCCCAGUCUUCCCCACAGCGUUCCUGCCCAUUGCGGGGCAGCGGCGCAGACGGAAUGUCCUGCGGCCCAAACCUCCUGCUCCUGCCACACAGCGCCAGCCUUCUCCCCUCCUCCUCCUCUCCCAGCACAGCACAAAUUCCAGCUCGGAGGAGGCUUCCCCAGAGAGGGCUCCGGCUCCUGUCUCAGCCUGAGCGUCCCUGCAGAGGAACAGGGCAUCCUUCAGGAACCCUGUCCUACAGCCCACCAGAGGGGAUCCACCAGCAAUGCUACCACGGCGAGGCAGCGACGAUCUGGUCCCUGGGCCUCCUGCUGCACCACCUGGUCAGGGGGAAGCACCCGUUCAGGAGGGGCCAGGAGAUAUCUGGGGGCAGAUCUUGUUCCCAGGACAGCUCUAUCAAGGUGGAUCCUCAUCUCUGGCCUCGGGGGCAGUACCAGUGCUGGGAGACAGCAGCAGCUCAUGCGCAUCCCGCUCUGGCAGCUGCUGAGGAGGUGGCACAUGUCCUGCUCUCCUGCUCUCCUCCAAACAGAGAAUCCAUGGGGAAGUUUAGGCCCAGCUCUGGGCACACCCAGCACGGCCUGGGCACGGGAACAGAGGGCAAUUUCUCCAACUGACUGGUGAUUGCUGGUUUCUCUCCCCAGAGUGCCAGAAUGUCAUUAAGAGGUGUUUGUCCAUUCAGCCCUUGGACAGGCCAUCCUUAGAAGAGAUUUUCCAUGAUCCUUGGGCUGUUCUGUGUUCCUCUGCCCUAGAAGAUGGGAGAGAUCCACAUGCACAUUUGGAUCCAGGAGCCUGGCAGGUAACAGCUCCACACAUCUCUUGGCACUCAGUGGCAAAGCCAACCAGACAGGUUUUGUCCUGCCUGUAGCUCUGAGCAGGGGUCAGCAGAAGGGAACACGCAGCUCUUGGGCUGCAGCUGAGCUGGAGACCUGGUGUGGCAAGCACUGGGGCCCACCAUCCCCCUGGUUUUGCUUGCCAUGGUUCAUGGAUGGUGGGGCCCUGAGCAGAGCCCUGACAGCCUGGUCUGGCCCAGGGAAGGAGAAGGAGCCCCUGGAGAAGAUGUCCCAGGUCGGGCUGCUGCUGCUGGGGACAGUGAGGAGAACACCAAGGAUGACAACCUCUUGCUUCACCUGGUCUCUGGCAUGCUGAAGAUGAUAGACUUUGAUUCUGACAUCUCCUUCAAAGUCAGGUUCCACAGGGAAUUUGCAGAUGAGUCCACAUGCAGGGGGAUGCUCCCAGAUUUCGGCAUUGCUCAGCCUGGCUGGGAACCAAAGGUUCCCCCUUUGCUGGGGUGGAUGCAGCUGAUCCUUCAGUCGGCUGCAGGCUGCUUCUGGCAGGGCUGGGGACAUGGGCUGGUGUGGGUACGAAAUGGGAGUGGGCUCCUGGCACUGCCAACAGCCCCCAGCACCCACCAUGCCCUGGGCUGGGGCUGGGCUGGGGCAGCCAGCCCGACACAAACAAACCCCCAUGGUGGGAACAGAGGUGGGACUCCAGACCCUGUGCAGGGGCUGCUUUGCUUUGCAGGCAAGGAAGGGCUUGGGCUGCUCCACUGCCCUUGUUUGCUUUGGGAUCACCAUGGGGGCAGUGCAGGGGAAGAGAGAAAGCCUGGGAUUAUUC